GAGUUUGAUCCUGGCUCAGAUUGAACGCUGGCGGCAUGCCUUACACAUGCAAGUCGAACGGCAGCACGGGGCAACCUGGUGGCGAGUGGCGAACGGGUGAGUAAUAUAUCGGAACGUACCCUGGAGUGGGGGAUAACGUAGCGAAAGUUACGCUAAUWCCGCAUACGAUYUAAGGAUGAAAGCAGGGGACCGCAAGGCCUUGUGCUCCUGGAGCGGCCGAUAUCUGAUUAGCUAGUUGGUGGGGUAAAGGCCUACCAAGGCAUCGAUCAGUAGCUGGUYUGAGAGGACGACCAGCCACACUGGAACUGAGACACGGUCCAGAYUCCUACGGGAGGCAGCAGUGGGGAAUUUUGGACAAUGGGCGCAAGCCUGAUCCAGCAAUGCCGCGUGAGGAAGAAGGCCUUCGGGUUGUAAARMUYUUUUGUCAGGGAAGAAAC
This 437-nucleotide ribosomal RNA is filed under the name Massilia sp. R-43201. RNAcentral's name for it is "bacterial SSU rRNA". It matches the Rfam family "Bacterial small subunit ribosomal RNA", at positions 9 to 451 of the family's 1533-position model. The record is from RNAcentral. Lineage: Bacteria; Pseudomonadati; Pseudomonadota; Betaproteobacteria; Burkholderiales; Oxalobacteraceae.